AAAAAAAUAAUCUUAAAAUUUGAAGAUAGUGUAAGGAGCCUCUGAGACAACUUCACACAUACCAAUAUUCACAUUAUGGGAGUAACAGAA
Long non-coding RNA from Myotis brandtii (Brandt's bat), 90 nucleotides. RefSeq lists it as uncharacterized. The record is from RefSeq and is a predicted model, not a curated record. Lineage: Eukaryota; Metazoa; Chordata; Mammalia; Chiroptera; Vespertilionidae. The transcript has 3 exons.